CCUACGGGGUGCAGCAGUGGGGAAUAUUGCACAAUGGGCGCAAGCCUGAUGCAGCCAUGCCGCGUGUAUGAAGAAGGCCUUCGGGUUGUAAAGUACUUUCAGCGAGGAGGAAGGCAUUAAGGUUAAUAACCUUAGUGAUUGUCGUUACUCGCAGAAGAAGCACCGGCUAACUCCGUGCCAGCAGCCGCGGUAAUACGGAGGGUGCAAGCGUUAAUCGGAAUUACUGGGCGUAAAGCGCACGCAGGCGGUCUGUCAAGUCGGAUGUGAAAUCCCCGGGCUCAACCUGGGAACUGCAUUCGAAACUGGCAGGCUAGAGUCUUGUAGAGGGGGGUAGAAUUCCAGGUGUAGCGGUGAAAUGCGUAGAGAUCUGGAGGAAUACCGGUGGCGAAGGCGGCCCCCUGGACAAAGACUGACGCUCAGGUGCGAAAGCGUGGGGAGCAAACAGGAUUAGAUACCCUAGUAGUC
RNAcentral lists this ribosomal RNA (465 nucleotides) under uncultured bacterium. Its description in RNAcentral is "bacterial SSU rRNA". It matches the Rfam family "Bacterial small subunit ribosomal RNA", at positions 338 to 795 of the family's 1533-position model. The record is from RNAcentral.